GCUUCCCUCUUCCCUCCUGCUUAACACAUGCAAGUCUACUUGAACUUCGGUUUGGGUGGCGGACGGGUGAGUCACGCGUAAAGAACUUGCCUCACAGAUAGGGACAACAUUUGGAAACGAAUGCUAAUACCUGAUAUUAUGAUUUUAGGGCAUCCUAGAAUUAUGAAAGCUAUAUGCACUGUGAGAGAGCUUUGCGUCCCAUUAGCUAGUUGGAGAGGUAACGGCUCACCAAGGCGAUGAUGGGUAGCCGGCCUGAGAGGGUGAUCGGCCACAAGGGGACUGAGACACGGCCCUUACUCCUACGGGAGGCAGCAGUGGGGAAUAUUGGACAAUGGACCAAGAGUCUGAUCCAGCAAUUCUGUGUGCACGAUGAAGUUUUUCGGAAUGUAAAGUGCUUUCAGUUGGGAAGAAAAAAAUGACGGUACCAACAGAAGAAGGGACGGCUAAAUACGUG
RNAcentral lists this ribosomal RNA (454 nucleotides) under uncultured bacterium. RNAcentral describes it as "partial 16S ribosomal RNA". It matches the Rfam family "Bacterial small subunit ribosomal RNA", at positions 39 to 507 of the family's 1533-position model. The record is from RNAcentral.